AAAUGAAUAGACGGGGACCCGCACAAGCAGCGGAGCAUGUGGUUUAAUUCGAAGCAACGCGAAGAACCUUACCAGGUCUUGACAUGGUAUUGACCGGUCUAGAGAUAGAUUUUUCCCUUCGGGGACAAUACACACAGGUGGUGCAUGGUUGUCGUCAGCUCGUGUCGUGAGAUGUUGGGUUAAGUCCCGCAACGAGCGCAACCCCUAUUUUUAGUUGCUAACAGUUCGGCUGAGCACUCUAGAGAGACUGCCGAUGAUAAAUCGGAGGAAGGUGGGGAUGACGUCAAAUCAUCAUGCCCUUUAUGACCUGGGCUACACACGUGCUACAAUGGUCGGUACAACGAGGAGCUACACAGCGAUGUGAUGCAAAUCUCUUAAAGCCGAUCCCAGUUCGGAUUGCAGGCUGCAAUUCGCCUGCAUGAAGUCGGAGUUGCUAGUAAUCGUGGAUCAGAAUGCCGCGGUGAAUGCGUUCCCGGGUCUUGUACACACCGCCCGU
Molecule: ribosomal RNA, 496 nt
Filed under: uncultured bacterium
Lineage: Bacteria
Description: bacterial SSU rRNA
Rfam family: Bacterial small subunit ribosomal RNA
Source: RNAcentral